Molecule: long non-coding RNA, 418 nt
Filed under: Homo sapiens (human)
Lineage: Eukaryota; Metazoa; Chordata; Mammalia; Primates; Hominidae
Description: non-protein coding lnc-TLR4-9:1
Source: RNAcentral
AUGACCUUUCAUCUUAUUUCUCAUCUGCUGGUCCCAUCAACCCUAACUUUGUAUCUGCUAAAACUCAGGGAUGUGAUAGGUUAUAUUGGGCAACAAUGACAACAAUUCAGUGGGCUAAAGAAAAAGUUUAAUUUCUGCUGAUAUUGCAUAUCCAACAAGGACUGGAAGAGGGAAUCUUCACUUUGGACCCUAAAAGGUCCAGCCUGAUUUUGAAAUUUGAAGACAAAUUGAUAGGUGGAAACACGAUUCAAGGGGAAGAGUGGCUUAUUUAAUUGGUGAAUUUUAGAGAAGAAAUUGAGAAUGUCUGCUACUUUUCAUCCCUCCUGAAACUACUACUAUUUUUAGAGGUGCCUAACAUGUUGACCUGCUCUUUGGUCUUCUGAAUCUAAUUGGAAACCAUCUUGGAACACACAUGUUG